RNAcentral lists this ribosomal RNA (363 nucleotides) under Poicephalus gulielmi (red-fronted parrot). RNAcentral's name for it is "partial 12S ribosomal RNA". It matches the Rfam family "Bacterial small subunit ribosomal RNA", at positions 868 to 1381 of the family's 1533-position model. Lineage: Eukaryota; Metazoa; Chordata; Aves; Psittaciformes; Psittacidae. The record is from RNAcentral.
UCCGCCCGAGAACUUUGAGCACAAACGCUUAAAACUCUAAGGACUUGGCGGUGCCCUAAACCCACCUAGAGGAGCCUGUUCUGUAAUCGAUAAUCCACGAUCCACCCAACCACUUCUUGCCAAAACAGCCUACAUACCGCCGUCGCCAGCCCACCUCCAUGAGAGAGCAGCAGUGGACUCAACAGCCCCACACCAGCCCACUAACAAGACAGGUCAAGGUAUAGCCCACGAAGUGGAAGAAAUGGGCUACAUUUUCUAAGAUAGAACAACCCUCAACGGAAGGGGGCCUGAAACCUGCCCCCAAAAGGAGGAUUUAGCAGUAAAGUAGGACAAGAUCGCCUUCUUUAAGCUGGCCCUAGGGCA